AUGAAAUGUAAACUUUACAAUGGAGGAAACAACUUGACACUCAUCUGAACUGAUCAUCGCCAAAGCCUGAGUCAGCUCCAACAUGAAACUCAGUUCCCUUUCUUCAUUGUCCUCAAAGCAACAUUGACAUACUGGGGAGCUACAGUGAAAGAUCACAUUCCCUGACAGAAGAUGACAAUUCACCAGCAUGGAAUUCAUCCAAAGGACCACACCGCCAGUCUGAAGAUGUCUCCCAGAAAGGAAAUGAUCAAGUGUGCUGAGCAACUGCAGCCUUUUGUUGAAAUAAAGAUGCACACAUGCGCA
Tupaia belangeri chinensis (Chinese tree shrew) is the source of this 303-nucleotide long non-coding RNA. RefSeq lists it as uncharacterized. The record is from RefSeq and is a predicted model, not a curated record. NCBI's taxonomy places the organism in Eukaryota, Metazoa, Chordata, Mammalia, Scandentia, Tupaiidae. The transcript has 3 exons.